Molecule: transfer RNA, 73 nt
Filed under: Streptococcus cristatus
Lineage: Bacteria; Bacillati; Bacillota; Bacilli; Lactobacillales; Streptococcaceae
Description: tRNA-Gly
Rfam family: tRNA
About the family: Transfer RNA (tRNA) molecules are approximately 80 nucleotides in length. Their secondary structure includes four short double-helical elements and three loops (D, anti-codon, and T loops).
Source: RNAcentral
GGCGAAGUAGUUCAGUGGUAGAACACCACCUUGCCAAGGUGGGGGUCGCGGGUUCGAAUCCCGUCGUUCGCUU